This 369-nucleotide unclassified non-coding RNA is filed under the name Hevea brasiliensis (rubber tree). Lineage: Eukaryota; Viridiplantae; Streptophyta; Magnoliopsida; Malpighiales; Euphorbiaceae. The record is from RNAcentral.
UGAUUAAGCAAAAGAACAGAUUAAUAUAUACAAGCAUGGUAAGAAUUGCCCAGAGAAGGGAGUAAUUACGAGACCCAAGUGUCAGCGUGGACGGACCAAGCUUUGGUGAUCAAGUUUGUCAGACCAAGGUGAUAAGUGAGUUGGAUAGCAAAUGGCUGGCUUUGCUUGCUAAACUGCUUAUCUUCAAACGAGGGCUUUAAAUCCUCUGAAACUGAUUAUAACCUUAAAAGAAUUGACGGAAGCACAAAUGAAUGGACAAGCAAGAGAUUUCAGUUUAAAAUAAAACGGAAUCUACUCUUGCAGCCUCAACCGAUUGAAGAACACCAGGAAAUGAAAUUCAGGAGCCCAAUAAACAAAUCCAACGACAGG